UCCUCGCUCAAAGAAUCGCAUUCAAAGCUCACACACAGAGAAUACCUCGUAUUCUCUACCCCCCUUUUGCUUUGGGAGAAAGUCCCCGGACACCCUGGCUGUCUAAACGUCCCCUCGUGGACCCAGUCAGGCAAUGCGGAAACGCGCCGCCAUAGAAGCAAUUCGAUAGCGGCUGAUUGCCCUAUUCCCUCCCAGUGCUGGCGCUGUAUCCGACACUAGCUGGCUGAAAGGUCAGGUGGUGGAACCAAUGGUGGUACGGCACGGUGCUGGAGAGGGGGUUUUAUCUGGGUUGCCUUUCGUCGUGUUUGGAUAGUCAUGCGAUUGCCCUCGUUUCUGGUCUCUUCGUUUGAGGGGAUUGGAGAGGGUAACUCAAUGGGGCUCAUUCUUGAGGCGAGG
Non-coding RNA from Aspergillus carbonarius ITEM 5010, 396 nucleotides. It matches the Rfam family "RNase MRP". From Rfam's summary of the family: RNase MRP is an enzymatically active ribonucleoprotein with two distinct roles in eukaryotes. In mitochondria it plays a direct role in the initiation of mitochondrial DNA replication. The record is from Rfam. Lineage: Eukaryota; Fungi; Ascomycota; Eurotiomycetes; Eurotiales; Aspergillaceae.